GCCUCAGGAAUGCGUCAGCAGCUCACUGCCAGCAAGCAAGCUAGCAAAGCACAUCUGGGGAAGGUGCCAUGUAAACAUAACAGGUCUAUUCUUAUCUGAUCCCCUCCAGUGAAAUGCUUUUCCCAUUAUCGCUUCUCCUGUUCUUUCCCUAUAUGGAAGACUAUCAUACACGUUUAUUUGAACCAGGUCCAGCCCCUCCUACAUGAGGUGCUUUGCAAGCCAGUCCUCCUCCUCUUCUCCCUCCUACCAUCUCCCCUUCCUUCUCCUCCUCCUCCAUUCUUGGAGCUCCCCAAGGGCUUCCAUCCCCAAAAUGGCUGGGCCUGACACUGACUUGAAGAAAAAACCAGAAGAUGCAGGCGGAAAUGCAGAGGCUGCAGAGGGGGUGUGCUUCCUCCAUGGCACUCAUGGACCUGAAGAACGCUCUGCAGCUGGUACCAGUGGAGAUGAAGCAUCAGCAUGUCCUCAUCCCUCUCCCUCCAGCGAAGAAGGCUGAGGCAGCUCCCCUCAGCAAAUCAAGUGCCAGCUACCAAUUAGUACGGAGUGUGCGGGCGGGGAAAGUGAUGGAGAAGAGAAAGGAGGCCUGGAAAAUCACUGGGCUGCGGCGCACUGCCUCUGUCUUGCUUCCGCGAUUGCGCUCUACACACAUUUCUUAUUUCAUUUCAUUAAGAUGUAAUAUUUAUCUUUAUUUCAAUAAUAUUUAUCUUUAUUUCAU
This is a long non-coding RNA of Anas platyrhynchos (mallard), 712 nucleotides long. RefSeq lists it as uncharacterized. NCBI's taxonomy places the organism in Eukaryota, Metazoa, Chordata, Aves, Anseriformes, Anatidae. The record is from RefSeq and is a predicted model, not a curated record.